Long non-coding RNA from Oxyura jamaicensis (ruddy duck), 308 nucleotides. RefSeq lists it as uncharacterized. The record is from RefSeq and is a predicted model, not a curated record. NCBI's taxonomy places the organism in Eukaryota, Metazoa, Chordata, Aves, Anseriformes, Anatidae. The transcript is spliced from 2 exons.
UUAUUAUUAUUAUUAUUAUUUAAUGCGAUUUCCUGCUUCCUGCUGUUGGAAACAGUCCCUGUUUAAAGCUUUUUGGCUGACACUAUCUGUUCUUUUGGUAUAAGCAUUUUGGAUGCUUACAAGUGGUAUGCUUUGCACAAUAUAGAGCAAGGACAAAGUCUGAAGUCAAAGGUAAAAGUUAAUGCCAGAGAUCCUUUUGAACUAAUAUUCUGAAAAGGCAAUUUGUUCAUUGAUCUUCCAAAUGCAUCAUUCUGUUUAACAGAAAAAAAGGCUUACUUUUAACAGCUUCAGAAAACCUAAUCAGUCCC